This 555-nucleotide ribosomal RNA is filed under the name uncultured bacterium. RNAcentral's name for it is "bacterial SSU rRNA". It matches the Rfam family "Bacterial small subunit ribosomal RNA", at positions 8 to 571 of the family's 1533-position model. The record is from RNAcentral.
AGAGUUUGAUCCUGGCUCAGAGCGAACGCUGGCGGCACGCCUAACACAUGCAAGUCGAGCGAGAAAGUGACUUCGGUCGCGAGUAAAGCGGCGAACGGGUGAGUACAACGUGGAUAAUCUACCCUAAGGUCUGGGACAACCCCGAGAAAUCGGGGCUAAUACCGGAUAAGACCACAGUAUCCAAGGAUACAGCGGUAAAAGAUUUAUCGCCUUUGGAUGAGUCCACGCCCCAUCAGGUAGUUGGUAAGGUAAAGGCUUACCAAGCCUAAGACGGGUAGCCGGCCUUAGCGGGUGAACGGCCACAUGGGGACUGAGACACGGCCCUGACUCCUACGGGAGGCAGCAGUGGGGAAUAUUGGGCAAUGGGCGAAAGCCUGACCCAGCGAUGCCGCGUGAGGGAUGAAGGCCUUCGGGUUGUAAACCUCUGUCAGGAGGGACGAUGGGACUUUGUCUUGACGGUACCUCCAGAGGAAGCCCCGGCUAACUCCGUGCCAGCAGCCGCGGUAAUACGGAGGGGGCAAGCGUUGCUCGGAAUUACUGGGCGUAAAGGGUCCG